AGGACGAACGCUGGCGGCGUGCUUAACACAUGCAAGUCGAGCGGAAAGGCCCUUCGGGGUACUCGAGCGGCGAACGGGUGAGUAACACGUGAGCAACCUGCCCUUAGCUUCGGGAUAGCUCCGGGAAACCGGAAUUAAUGCCGGAUAUGACUAUGGCCGACAUCAGCCAUGGUGGAAAGUUUUUCGGCUAGGGAUGGACUCGCGGCCUAUCAGCUAGUUGGUGAGGUAACGGCUCACCAAGGCGACGACGGGUAGCCGGCCUGAGAGGGCGACCGGCCACACUGGGACUGAGACACGGCCCAGACUCCUACGGGAGGCAGCAGUGGGGAAUAUUGCGCAAUGGGCGAAAGCCUGACGCAGCGACGCCGCGUGGGGGAUGAAUGCCUUCGGGUUGUAAACCCUUUCAGCAGGGACGAAGCGAAAGUGACGGUACCUGCAGAAGAAGCGCCGGCUAACUACGCGCCAGCAGCCGC
This 473-nucleotide ribosomal RNA is filed under the name uncultured bacterium. Its description in RNAcentral is "SSU rRNA". It matches the Rfam family "Bacterial small subunit ribosomal RNA", at positions 26 to 518 of the family's 1533-position model. The record is from RNAcentral.